This 238-nucleotide ribosomal RNA is filed under the name uncultured bacterium. RNAcentral's name for it is "partial 16S ribosomal RNA". It matches the Rfam family "Bacterial small subunit ribosomal RNA", at positions 100 to 334 of the family's 1533-position model. The record is from RNAcentral.
CGGAACGGGUGAGUAACGCGUGAGGAACCUGCCUCAAAGAGGGGGACAACAGUUGGAAACGACUGCUAAUACCGCAUAAGCCCACGGCUCGGCAUCGAGCAGAGGGGAAAGGAGUGAUCCGCUUUGAGAUGGCCUCGCGUCCGAUUAGCUAGUUGGUGAGGUAACGGCCCACCAAGGCGACGAUCGGUAGCCGGACUGAGAGGUUGAACGGCCACAUUGGGACUGAGACACGGCCCAG